UACAGAGGUCUCAAGCGUUGUUCGGAUUCAUUGGGCGUAAAGGGUGCGUAGGCGGCGCGGUAUGUCUCUUGUGAAAUCUCCAGGCUCAACUUGGAGUCUGCAAGGGAAACUGCCGUGCUUGAGUACUGGAGAGGUGAGUGGAACUCCUAGUGUAGAGGUGAAAUUCGUAGAUAUUAGGAAGAACACCAGUGGCGAAGGCGGCUCACUGGCCCCGGUACUGGACGCUGAGG
RNAcentral lists this ribosomal RNA (230 nucleotides) under uncultured bacterium. RNAcentral's name for it is "partial 16S ribosomal RNA". It matches the Rfam family "Bacterial small subunit ribosomal RNA", at positions 524 to 751 of the family's 1533-position model. The record is from RNAcentral.